AUUGAACGCUGGUGGUAUGCUUAACACAUGCAAGUCGGACGGUAACAGGAAGUAGCUUGCUACUUUGCUGACAAGUGGCGGACGGGUGAGUAACGCGUAGGAACAUGCCUUCUAGAGGGGGACAACUUGAGGAAACUCGAGCUAAUACCGCAUAAUACCUAAGGGUUAAAGGUGGCUUCGGCUGCCGCUAGAAGAUUGGCCUGCGUUAGAUUAGCUAGAUGGUGAGGUAAAGGCUCACCAUGGCGACGAUCUAUAGCUGUUCUGAGAGGAAGAUCAGCCACACUGGGACUGAGACACGGCCCAG
Molecule: ribosomal RNA, 304 nt
Filed under: uncultured bacterium
Lineage: Bacteria
Description: bacterial SSU rRNA
Rfam family: Bacterial small subunit ribosomal RNA
Source: RNAcentral